AUUGAACGCUGGCGGCAGGCCUAACACAUGCAAGUCGAGCGGAUGAAGGGAGCUUGCUCCUGGAUUCAGCGGCGGACGGGUGAGUAAUGCCUAGGAAUCUGCCUGGUAGUGGGGGAUAACGUCCGGAAACGGGCGCUAAUACCGCAUACGUCCUGAGGGAGAAAGUGGGGGAUCUUCGGACCUCACGCUAUCAGAUGAGCCUAGGUCGGAUUAGCUAGUUGGUGGGGUAAAGGCCUACCAAGCCGACGAUCCGUAACUGGUCUGAGUGGAUGAUCAGUCACACUAGAACUGAGACGCGGUCCAGGCUCCUACGGGAGGCAGCAGUGGGGAAUAUUGGACAGUGGGCGAGAGCCUGACCCAGCCAUGGCGCGUGUGUGAAGGAGAUCUUCGGAUUGUAAAGCACUUUAAGUUGGGAGAAAGGGCAGUAAGUUGAUACCUUGCUGUUUUGACGUUACCGACAGAAUAAGCACCGGCUAACUACGUG
This 484-nucleotide ribosomal RNA is filed under the name uncultured bacterium. Its description in RNAcentral is "partial 16S ribosomal RNA". It matches the Rfam family "Bacterial small subunit ribosomal RNA", at positions 30 to 507 of the family's 1533-position model. The record is from RNAcentral.